AAGGAAGUGCGUCAGCCAGAGUCUACACGAUGAGACAGCGAGAAGAGGCUGAGACUUCCGAUGUGGUAGCUGUUGAAAAGAAUAUCGGGAAGGAACCCGAGGAACCGAGUCGAGGCUAAAGGACGACUCGUUUGAGAUACAGAGAUUAGAGGAGCAGCAGACUGAGCUGCUGAGGUGUGUGAAGUCAUCAGUUUGAAGCCUUCGGGUAUAAUUUAUACCCUAACUGUAAAUACUUCUUUUGAUGUAUAUAUUGCACAUAAAUGUAUGGACAUGUAAAAAUGGGUCUUGAGCAGCUUGUACACAAAUUUGUAUGAAGUUUGUAAUAAAGUUUAGUUUGUGUUUCUUUUGAUAUAAAUUUGUAAGGUUAUGUAUAAAUUAUUUUGUUUUUAAUGAAAUAUGAAUGAUAUUGAUUGACAGUA
Long non-coding RNA from Hevea brasiliensis (rubber tree), 419 nucleotides. RefSeq lists it as uncharacterized. NCBI's taxonomy places the organism in Eukaryota, Viridiplantae, Streptophyta, Magnoliopsida, Malpighiales, Euphorbiaceae. The transcript is spliced from 3 exons. The record is from RefSeq and is a predicted model, not a curated record.